UACAGAGGGGGCGAGCGUUAUCCGGAAUUAUUGGGCGUAAAGAGCUCGUAGGCGGUUUGUCGCGUCUGCCGUGAAAGUCCGGGGCUCAACUCCGGAUCUGCGGUGGGUACGGGCAGACUAGAGUGAUGUAGGGGAGACUGGAAUUCCUGGUGUAGCGGUGAAAUGCGCAGAUAUCAGGAGGAACACCGAUGGCGAAGGCAGGUCUCUGGGCAUUAACUGACGCUGAGGAGCGAAAGCAUGGGGAGCGAACAGG
Molecule: ribosomal RNA, 253 nt
Filed under: uncultured bacterium
Lineage: Bacteria
Description: partial 16S ribosomal RNA
Rfam family: Bacterial small subunit ribosomal RNA
Source: RNAcentral